AGUCACGUGAAGGGGAGCAAUCCCCCGGUAGGGUGGCAAACGGGUGAGUAAUACAUGGGUGAUCUACCUUAGGGAUGGGGAUAUCCUUCCGAAAGGAGGGGCAAUACCGAAUAUUGUCCGGAACCGUGAAGGGUUUCGGGGAAAGGGAGGCCUCUGUCACAAGCUUUCGCCUUAAGAUGAGCCCAUGGCCCAUCAGCUAGUGGGUAGGGUAAAGGCCUACCAAGGCUACGACGGGUCGCUGGUCUGAGAGGACGACCAGCCACACUGGCACUGAGAUACGGGCCAGACUCCUACGGGAGGCAGCAGUGAGGAAUAUUGCGCAAUGGGGGAAACCCUGACGCAGCAACGCCGCGUGUGGGAAGAAGGCCUUCGGGUCGUAAACCACUUUUACUCGGGACGAAAAAGGGAUAUCAAACAAAUAUCCCC
Molecule: ribosomal RNA, 426 nt
Filed under: uncultured Leptospirillum sp.
Lineage: Bacteria; Pseudomonadati; Nitrospirota; Nitrospiria; Nitrospirales; Nitrospiraceae
Description: bacterial SSU rRNA
Rfam family: Bacterial small subunit ribosomal RNA
Source: RNAcentral